GUGCCAGCAGCCGCGGUAAUACAGAGGUGGCGAGCGUUGUUCGGAUUUACUGGGCGUAAAGGGUGCGUAGGCGGUUCCGCGUGUCGGAUGUGAAAUCUGGAGGCUCACCCUCCAAAGUGCAUUCGAAACUGCGAGACUAGAGUACAGGAGAGGAGAGCGGAAUUCUUGGUGUAGCGGUGAAAUGCGUUGAGAUCAAGAAGAACACCAGUGGCGAAGGCGGCUCUCUGGAAUGAAACUGACGCUGAGGCACGAAAGUUGGGGGAGCAAACAGGAUUAGAAACCCGCGUAGUCC
Molecule: ribosomal RNA, 292 nt
Filed under: uncultured bacterium
Lineage: Bacteria
Description: partial 16S ribosomal RNA
Rfam family: Bacterial small subunit ribosomal RNA
Source: RNAcentral